GUUAGCCUAAAAAACAAGCGUGAGAGAGGACAUGGGGUUAGAGCAAAAGCAACCCUGUACUUGACCCUCCGGCUCUCAUUUGAAACCAGCUCCACCUGCGUCUGGAUUUCUCUCUCCUUAUAGUGGUUUUGCUAAAUAUUGGUGCUGAUAGCCUCCCUUGCCUUCUCUAAUACAUCAUCUCCUUUUUUAUCCCAGUUUUCUGAGGAUCUCUCCAAGCUAAAGUCUGCGUCCGUUACUGAGAAAGUUUCUUUUUAGUACCAACAAUAUUGCAACAACAGUAUUAGAGACUGAAAUUGAGAAACUUCUCAUUGAUACAGUGAUAAGGGAAUGGAUGUUUCAAGUGGAGAAGCUUGCAGUUUGUUAGGAAAUGGACCGGACGUCAUGCCGAAGGAUCGGGCAAGGUGCAGCCAGAGAUGUGAAAACAAGGGCUCCAAGGCGAUACAUGACUUUACCAUGUUUGUAUGGCUAAGAAGUGACAGAGCUGGGAUUCAAACUCUGCUUGACUAAUCUAAUGCUGUGGUUCACACUUGUCUACUUGGGCAGUGAAGGACCUUGCAAAAUUGUCUAAUUAGUAAAUGACAGAACCAGGAGUCAAACUCUGGGGAAAGACCUUGGCUGCUGCCAGGAUGCUGGCUAGGAAGCAUAUAGACUGGAUGUGUCAAGGUCAGAGUGAAGACUACCAUUGGGUCCAAGUGUGUAUGUCAGGCCCUCAGGCCUCUCCAGCCACCACCACCCUGACCCAGGUCCAGCCAUCAAUCUGACUAGAUGAAUGAAGAGUUCCAAGCUGACCAGAUCCUGGAAAGCUGGAUGAAGAGCCCAGACUCUGAGAGGCAGCCAGUCAGCCAGCAUCUGCAAAUAGUGGGCCAGUCCAUUGCUUAGUGACCACCUCAGUGCCAUCUACUCUCCCACAAAGUGAAGAACAGGAUCAUUCAGCCUCCCAGGGUUCACACCUGCAGGGGAGAGAUGGGCUGUAACAGAUAACGCCACGUGAUAAGUACGGUAAGAGAGGUAUGGUCAAAGCCCUGAAGGAGUCUCACAUGCCUUUUCUGGAAAAGGGAAGUAAAAUCCCAGGUAAGCUUAUUGGGGGCAUCGAAUGGGAACGUGCCGGCUUGCACUCUGUCCUCUAGAGGGAGCGCAUGCUCUUUCUCUGAGAUCUGAGAAGCCUUCUUUCUAAUCAGGGGAUCUCUUCAAUAGAGCUGGGUUAAGAUAAAUGCUCAGGUGCCUUUUGGUCUUUUUAGAUAUUCCCUGUUGAAUUGCUUCCCACCUAGCUCCUCUUCACAGCUGGUACCAUAGGGGGAGGCUGAGUCCUCCUCCCACUCGAAAACUUUGCUUCCUUCAACUGGAAGACAAAGCCAGAACCAGAGUGAAGUCUCCCCAGGCAAAAGAAUGACUCAUCUGGGCACAAUUCCUAUUUCAUAGCACAAUCUACGAAGACAGAUGACAUCAGGAUUUGGGGAUAAUUUUCCCAUAAUAGUCACUUGUGCACAGACUCUAAGGGGGUGGCCUUUGCCAAGGUAUUGAAAGGAGGGGUCAAGACAGGGUUCAGAAAUUUGGGACCCAGACAUAUUUAUCACUCACCACAACUAACAGAUAAAUUUAGAUAUUUCCAUUUUAUUUUUUAUUAAUGUUUUCUUUGUCAUUUCAUGACUACAUGAUUUGUUGAUUCAGGGUUCUCUUGAGAAUUUGGCAAAAACCCAAUUCAGAAAUUUUCUGGAAUUUAUUUAUUGCAACAACUAUAUUUCAUAGGAAUAUAUAUCUCUAUUUCCUCGAUUGAUUCCCUUCUUUUCAUCAUGUAUAUUUUUAUAAUCUAUCAAUGUUUCCAUAUGCAUACUCUUACAUAAGGAAGCCUAAAAUAGUCUCUGAUUGUCUCACAUGGAAAAUUAAGAUAGAGUCUCUCAGUUUGUAUGAUAUCCAAAAGAAGAGAGAUAUGGACAAUUUUUUUCACUUAAUUUUAAUUUUGUUUAUUUAAUGUAUACCACUUGAUGAGUUAGAGAUAAAUAUGCACUCAGGAAACCAACAGGGUAUAUACCAGAUACAUCUAUCACCUCCAAAAGUUUCCUCUCACCCUCUUUAAUUAUUAUUAUUUUUACUAUGUGAUAACAUUUAACGUAAGAUCUUAGCAAAGGUUUAACCGAAGAUUUAACACAAGAUCCUAUCAAGUUUUAAAGUGUACAAGUGCUAUAGGCUUCUUUUUAGCUGAAACUUUACCAUUUGGUUAAUAGUUUUCAGUUUCCCUCUCCCCCAGCCCCCAGAUGCUAGAAGCCACCAUUCUACUCUCUGUUCAAUGAGUUUGACUAUUUUAGAUUCCUCAUAUAAAUGGUAUGUUGCAUUUGUCUGUGUUUAGCUUAUUUUACACUCUCUCAGCUUAUCCAUGUCAUCAGAAUUGGCAAGAUUUCCUUUUUUUUUAAGGCUGACUAAUAUUAUAUCGUAUGUGUACAACACAUUUUCUGUAUCCAUUCAUCUGUUGAUGGACAUUUAGGUUGCUUCCGUGUCUUGGCUACUGUAAAUAAUGCUGCAAUGGCUACAGGAGUGCAGAGCAUUUCUUUUAGAUUCUGAUCUCAAUCCUUUGGAUAUAUACCCAGAAAUGAAAUUGCUGCCUCAACUGGUGGUUCUAGUUUUAGUUUUCUGAGGAACCUCUGUACUGUUUUCCAUAGUGGCUGCACCAAUUUUUUCCACCAACAGUGCACAAGGGUUCCCUUUUCUCUGCAUCCUUGCAACAUUUGUGAUCUCUUGUCUUUUUGAUAAUAGCCAUUUAAAAGGUGUGAGGUGAUAUCUUAUUGCGGUUUUGAUUUGCAUUUCCGUGGUGAUUUGUGAUCCAACUUGCAUAAGUGCAACCAAUUCACAUUUUAAAAAAAUAAGAUGGGUUCUGGAUAUAACCCUAAUAUCGGGGCUUCUACAGCUUCUGAAAAAAGAGGAAACUUGUGCUAAAUAUGAAGCUGGGGGAUUUAGUGCGCUAGUUCUUCUUUGAGAGACUGUGCCUGAGACUAGCUUCAGUGGGGAGACCACACACGGGCACAUUGAGCUCAUGAAGGUGGGCCCUACACAUCCCUUCUGACAGCCUUGGGACAAUUUGUUACAAAGACUUUCUAAUAUUUUUGAAGCUGGAGGGAAUCUUAUAAGUACUUUUAUUACUUUUGCUUUCUUUCCCCCUAAAAAACUGUUAAAGAUUCCAGAUAUGGCAUGUCUUUUAUAAUUGAGGGCAUCUUCAAAUCAAAGGGACAGUAUAUGAAAUUCAUUUAUAGAAAUUUAGACUCAUAAAAUGUUGUAACUAGUGGGCAUUAAAGAUUAGAUGAUCCAGCAAAUUUUAAAGGCUUUUUGCAUUGUUUCUUAAAUCUGGACUUUUUUGAUAUAAGUCUGUAGAGAAGCUCUACAGAAACCAACAGAUCAAAGCACGGUGAGCUGGGGUGCCUGGGUGGUUCAGUGGGUUAA
Molecule: long non-coding RNA, 3429 nt
Organism: Mustela erminea (ermine)
Lineage: Eukaryota; Metazoa; Chordata; Mammalia; Carnivora; Mustelidae
Exons: 5
Source: RefSeq, a predicted model, not a curated record